Molecule: ribosomal RNA, 253 nt
Filed under: uncultured bacterium
Lineage: Bacteria
Description: partial 16S ribosomal RNA
Rfam family: Bacterial small subunit ribosomal RNA
Source: RNAcentral
UACAGAGGGUACGAGCGUUGUCCGGAAUCACUGGGCGUAAAGGGCGCGUAGGUGGCGCUGCAAGUCGGUGGUGAAAGCUCGCCGCUUAACGGCGAGUCGGCCAUCGAAACUGCAGGGCUCGAGCACUGUAGGGGCUAAUGGAAUUCCGGGUGUAGCGGUGGAAUGCGUAGAGAUCCGGAAGAACACCAGUGGCGAAGGCGGUUAGCUGGGCAGUUGCUGACACUGAUGCGCGACAGCGUGGGGAGCAAACAGG